This 901-nucleotide ribosomal RNA is filed under the name uncultured bacterium. Its description in RNAcentral is "bacterial SSU rRNA". It matches the Rfam family "Bacterial small subunit ribosomal RNA", at positions 505 to 1402 of the family's 1533-position model. The record is from RNAcentral.
GUUUCNGCCGCCGCGGUAAUACGUAGGGUGCGAGCGUUAUCCGGAAUUAUUGGGCGUAAAGAGCUCGUAGGCGGUUUGUCGCGUCUGUCGUGAAAGUCCGGGGCUUAACCCCGGAUCUGCGGUGGGUACGGGCAGACUAGAGUGCAGUAGGGGAGACUGGAAUUCCUGGUGUAGCGGUGGAAUGCGCAGAUAUCAGGAGGAACACCGAUGGCGAAGGCAGGUCUCUGGGCUGUAACUGACGCUGAGGAGCGAAAGCAUGGGGAGCGAACAGGAUUAGAUACCCUGGUAGUCCAUGCCGUAAACGUUGGGCGCUAGGUGUGGGGACCAUUCCACGGUUUCCGCGCCGCAGCUAACGCAUUAAGUGCCCCGCCUGGGGAGUACGGCCGCAAGGCUAAAACUCAAAGGAAUUGACGGGGGCCCGCACAAGCGGCGGAGCAUGCGGAUUAAUUCGAUGCAACGCGAAGAACCUUACCAAGGCUUGACAUGUUCUCGAUCGCCGUAGAGAUACGGUUUCCCCUUUGGGGCGGGUUCACAGGUGGUGCAUGGUUGUCGUCAGCUCGUGUCGUGAGAUGUUGGGUUAAGUCCCGCAACGAGCGCAACCCUCGUUCCAUGUUGCCAGCACGUCGUGGUGGGGACUCAUGGGAGACUGCCGGGGUCAACUCGGAGGAAGGUGAGGACGACGUCAAAUCAUCAUGCCCCUUAUGUCUUGGGCUUCACGCAUGCUACAAUGGCCGGUACAAUGGGUUGCGAUACUGUGAGGUGGAGCUAAUCCCAAAAAGCCGGUCUCAGUUCGGAUUGGGGUCUGCAACUCGACCCCAUGAAGUCGGAGUCGCUAGUAAUCGCAGAUCAGCAACGCUGCGGUGAAUACGUUCCCGGGCCUUGUACACACCGCCCGUCAAAC